AUAAAAUCAGUAGAAAAAGGUUUCGGGUCAAAAGAAUGUAUAAAACUCAUUUUAUGGCUUAAACGGUCAAAACCGGCAUUAACCGAAUCGACUUAGCGAUCUAUGAUCCGAUCAGCCAAAAAUUAAAUAAAAAUCAUCAAAAUUCCCAAAUUAAUAUAUAACAUCAGUGGGUAAAAAGUUUUGUAUCAAAACGUGGCCUGAAAUGGGUUAUACGCGAAAUGCGCCGCUUAUGUAAUAAUAAGAUAUAGUUUUACGAUAUCGGCCAUAACUCAAAUUCUGGACCACCAACUGAUCUCAAAUUUUCGGUGCAAGUUUAUAAAUUAGAAAUAAAGAUCUCUACUCUUUCACUUUUCCAAAAAUCACGUUUUAUAUCAAAAAGGAGAGUUUUACCAAAAUAAAAAUGGUCAAAACUGGAAACCUGAGUUUGAAACUUUAGUUUACUGUUAUAAUAUAAAAAUUUACU
This 463-nucleotide long non-coding RNA is filed under the name Helianthus annuus (common sunflower). The record is from RNAcentral. Lineage: Eukaryota; Viridiplantae; Streptophyta; Magnoliopsida; Asterales; Asteraceae.